RNAcentral lists this ribosomal RNA (497 nucleotides) under uncultured bacterium. Its description in RNAcentral is "partial 16S ribosomal RNA". It matches the Rfam family "Bacterial small subunit ribosomal RNA", at positions 28 to 507 of the family's 1533-position model. The record is from RNAcentral.
GAUGAACGCUGGCGGCGUGCCUAAUACAUGCAAGUCGAGCGAACGGACGAGGAGCUUGCUCCUCUGACGUUAGCGGCGGACGGGUGAGUAACACGUGGAUAACCUACCUAUAAGACUGGGAUAACUUCGGGAAACCGGAGCUAAUACCGGAUAAUAUUUUGAACCGCAUGGUUCAAAAGUGAAAGACGGUCUUGCUGUCACUUAUAGAUGGAUCCGCGCUGCAUUAGCUAGUUGGUAAGGUAACGGCUUACCAAGGCAACGAUGCAUAGCCGACCUGAGAGGGUGAUCGGCCACACUGGAACUGAGACACGGUCCAGACUCCUACGGGAGGCAGCAGUAGGGAAUCUUCCGCAAUGGGCGAAAGCCUGACGGAGCAACGCCGCGUGAGUGAUGAAGGUCUUCGGAUCGUAAAACUCUGUUAUUAGGGAAGAACAAAUGUGUAAGUAACUGUGCACAUCUUGACGGUACCUAAUCAGAAAGCCACGGCUAACUACGUG